AAAAAUUUAGUUAAAUAAUAACGUUAGUUUGUCAAACUAGAGUUACCUUAUGGUAAUUUUUU
This 62-nucleotide transfer RNA is filed under the name Pyrrhidium sanguineum. RNAcentral describes it as "tRNA-Asp". Lineage: Eukaryota; Metazoa; Arthropoda; Insecta; Coleoptera; Cerambycidae. The record is from RNAcentral.